GAAUAUGUUGAAGUGGAGCUUAAGUGGAAUAGUAUUCUUUUGGUGUUUCCACGGUUUGAUUGAGAAAGGGCAGAUGGGCCACACUGAAAAUUGAUGAAUGUGGUCUCAACUCUGGAUGGGCUCGAAACUCCAUGUGGAUGACUGUAUCCCAUUAAGUUAAAAGGCAAAAGAGUUGACAAUUUGGACCAUCUCUAUCAAUAUUUUUGUUCAGUA
Molecule: long non-coding RNA, 213 nt
Filed under: Coffea arabica (coffee)
Lineage: Eukaryota; Viridiplantae; Streptophyta; Magnoliopsida; Gentianales; Rubiaceae
Description: long non-coding RNA (CARA_LNC000499)
Source: RNAcentral